This 1874-nucleotide long non-coding RNA is filed under the name Homo sapiens (human). RNAcentral describes it as "non-protein coding lnc-ZNF217-2:3". Lineage: Eukaryota; Metazoa; Chordata; Mammalia; Primates; Hominidae. The record is from RNAcentral.
UUUACCUAAGCAAGCCUGGGCAAUGGCGGGCGCCCCUCCGCCAGCCUCACUGCCGCCUUGCAGUUUGAUCUCAGACUGCUGUGCUAGCAAUCAGCGAGACUCCGUGGGCGUAGGACCCUCCGAGCCAGGUGCCGGAUAUAAUCUCGUGGUGCGCCGUUUUUUAAGCCCGUCCGAAAAGCGCAAUAUUCGGGUGGGAGUGACCCGAUUUUCCAGCCUGUGUCUCCCCUCCAGAGUGUAGGUCCCUGAGGGCAGUCACCUGAUCUGUCUCAGUCACUGCAGUGUCCCCAAACAGAGCACCGCCUCAGGCACACAGAGGGCAGUGGUGAGGACUAAAGGAGGCGAUGAGAAGAGAGUCCCCACAAGGAGUCUGGCACAGAGGAAGUUUCGACGUAUGCUGUCCAUUGCAACUUCGACUUAUGCUGCGUUUCUGUGUCGGAACAGUGGAAGACAUUCAACAAGCACUUUGUCUCAGAGGCUUAGUUACAAUUAAUUGAGCCUGAAAGACCAUAGACUUGAAAAAGCCCUCAAAGUGAUAAAGGUAAAAAGAAAAAUAAAAUGACAUCUAGCAGGCACUGAGGGCUCUACAACGUGUGGCUAGCCUGUAUUCAGCACCCUACAGUGUGCAGCCAGGCUGUGCUCAGCAUCCUACAGUGUGCAGCCAGGCUGUGCUCAGUACUCUACAGUGAGUAGCCAGCCUGUGCUCAGCACUCCGCAGUGAGUGGCCAGCCUGUGCUCAGCACUCUACAGUAUGUGGCCAAACUGUGCUCAGCACUCCACAGUGAGUGGCCAGCCUGUGGUCAGGACUCUACAGUGAGUGGCCAGUCUAUACUCUGCACUCUACAGUGAGUGGCCAGCCUGUACACAGCACUCCACAGUCGUCAUCUUUUCAUCAUAAAUCUAAUGGCCACUUAAUGAGGUAGACCUGUCCCAUGACUUGAACUGAUUUCAAAAACUCAAAACUCAUACUCUCUUGCAUUUGGCAACCAAAACACAACCCACUUCCUGGGACCUUCUGACAGCCAGGCCACGUUGAGCAAACACCGAGCCCUCUUCAGAGUUGGUCAGCAGCCAGGUCAGCAGCGACUGGCAAGGCGACUGCUUGCCAGGUCUCCUCCAGCAUGAGCUUGGGAUGGAGCUGAAUCCCUUUCAUGCACAAGCAGAAUUUGAAAAGGUGCGGGGCCACACUAGUACCUCUGCGUCUCCUGCCAGAGCCCACCAGCUUAUUUUGCUUCUUCAGAGUCUGUAAAGCAUCCUUCUGGAUGACGAAUGCCUUCCGAGGCUCCAGCCCACCAAGCCUUCCUCUAAGUUUCAGAUGCAGAGGCCACCUCGGAGAACUGUGAUUGUCUCCCUGCAUCUCCCCAGUGCCCCCGGAUGAGUGCCACCCUCCUCACCUGCUAUCACAAAGACAAGAAAGGCCAUUCAUAAUUUAAGUCAGCCCUUUCUUUCCUGCACGCCACCAACAUGAGUCAGAUGCUGGAGGAAAAAUUGAACUCUUUCUCCCAGGAUACACCAAAGAUCAAGCAGAAUCUCAUUAAGGCUCACUUCAAAGACUCGUCCUUUAUUUCCAUACAAACAAGUUUAAAUUAUCGUGUGUGAAUCUGCUGUUAGCAGGGACUCUGUUCCAUUAUGCAUGAUUCCUUACUGUUCAUAUCAUGAAUAAUGGGCAGUGCUCCGUUAGCGAUUUCCAGUAAUAUGCUAAACUUUGGGAGUGGUCAUGGUGUUAGGUUAAAGUUCUGGUGUUUGCCUAUUUUAUUUCUUACUCAAGCUAUAAUGGCCUGCUUCAUCAAAAUAGGUUUCACAGUCUUAUUGUAAUGAACACAGCAUAACACAUGUUGUGGCUAUGAUUUCCUUAUUAUUAUUAUUGAAUAUUUAUU